UACGUAGGGGGCAAGCGUUAUCCGGAUUUACUGGGUGUAAAGGGGGCGCAGACGGCAGCGCGAGCCAGGAGUGAAAGCCCGGGGCCCAACCCCGGGACUGCUCUUGGAACUGCGCGGCUGGAGUGCAGGAGGGGCAGGCGGAAUUCCUGGUGUAGCGGUGAAAUGCGUAGAUAUCAGGAGGAACACCGGUGGCGAAGGCGGCCUGCUGGACUGCGACUGACGUUGAGGCCCGAAAGCGUGGGGAGCAAACAGG
RNAcentral lists this ribosomal RNA (253 nucleotides) under uncultured bacterium. RNAcentral's name for it is "partial 16S ribosomal RNA". It matches the Rfam family "Bacterial small subunit ribosomal RNA", at positions 524 to 776 of the family's 1533-position model. The record is from RNAcentral.